Sinocyclocheilus anshuiensis is the source of this 251-nucleotide long non-coding RNA. RefSeq lists it as uncharacterized. Lineage: Eukaryota; Metazoa; Chordata; Actinopteri; Cypriniformes; Cyprinidae. The record is from RefSeq and is a predicted model, not a curated record. The transcript has 3 exons.
GUGGUAAACGGCUGUGUGUCAGACUCAGAACACGGAAGUUGAAACCGUGCCGGAUCUCAAUGGACUGGAAAGACAGUGAAGGUGUUUAUUCCUCAAGGAGGAGCUGAGGAGUUUGUCUGAAGAGCUGGCUCAGUGUCAGACUCAGGAGAAUGAGGAUCUGCGACGAGCCCACGCCAAGCAUCACGACCGGCUGCGUGUCAUUCAGACCAACUACAGAACGAUGAGCGAGCGGCUGAAGGAAGCUGAAGACA